AGGCACCACACAGGCCAUGUUUGGUCUUAGAUGUGUCCCACCAACUUAGAAGCCCCAACCAGUGAAAGUUUUGCUUUGAACUAAUGAUAGGAAGGGUUGAGGGUUUUUUUUUUUUAAUUGUUGUUGUUGUUGGCUGGUAUUUUUGGGUCUUUUUUUUUCUAUUCACUUUGUUUUCCCCUCUUGUCUUUAUAAAGCCAAGCCAUCAGUUCCAGUCUUGUUAUUUCCAAAAAGGCCUGAAGCCAGUCUUGCAAAGAGGUGGUGGUGGCCAUGCAGUUGGAUACCUGGAACUCUUAGCUCUCUGCAGGAUGCCAGGGCACCAAAGGCUGGAAGCCUUAGCCGUGCCUUGUCAGGAAAAACUCUGUGGAGGCUCGUCUGUAGUAAACAGUGGUUACAGGGAGCCGGUCUGUGCCAAAUCGAGGACACGCAGCUGCCAGAUCUUGAAUACAAACCUUAAAACCUCACAAACAUCAAGUUCCAGAGGAGUCUCCAAGUCCUAGAACUUCUAUGACACUGUUGGCUUCAGGAAAACUGGUCACUUCAGAGCCCAAUGCUAAGGACCCCUAUUUCCCAAAAUUGUGAUCUUAAGCAAGCUGCACCUCCAUUUUGCCCAUCGGUCUAAAAACAAUACAGCCAUGAUGAGAUGGACCUCAGAGGGUGAGAAGUGUUUGGCUCUGUCUGGAAUGUAGAAAAUUCUAGUUAAAUGUUGGCUACCAAAAUUAUGACAGCUGUUUAGAAUCC
Molecule: long non-coding RNA, 738 nt
Filed under: Mus musculus (house mouse)
Lineage: Eukaryota; Metazoa; Chordata; Mammalia; Rodentia; Muridae
Description: Foxp3 regulating long intergenic non-coding RNA variant 2
Source: RNAcentral